Molecule: ribosomal RNA, 459 nt
Filed under: uncultured bacterium
Lineage: Bacteria
Description: partial 16S ribosomal RNA
Rfam family: Bacterial small subunit ribosomal RNA
Source: RNAcentral
CUACGGGGGGCUGCAGUGAGGAAUAUUGGUCAAUGGGCGCGAGCCUGAACCAGCCAUCCCGCGUGCAGGAUGACGGCCCUAUGGGUUGUAAACUGCUUUUCUAUGCCAAGAAACCUGAUUACGUGUAAUCAGUUGCCGGUAGCAUAGGAAUAAGCAUCGGCUAACUCCGGGCCAGCAGCCGCGGUAAUACGGAGGAUGCAAGCGUUAUCCGGAUUCAUUGGGUUUAAAGGGUGCGCAGGUGGGCUUGUAAGUCAGUGGUGAAAUGCUGCCGCUUAACGGUAGGACUGCCAUUGAGACUGCGAGUCUUGAGUAUGGUUGAGGUAGGCGGAAUGUGUUGUGUAGCGGUGAAAUGCAUAGAUAUGACACAGAACGCCAAUUGCGAAGGCAGCUUACUAAGCCAUUACUGACGCUGAGGCACGAAAGCGUGGGGAGCGAACAGGAUUAGAUACCCCAGUAGUC